UACGGAGGGUGCGAGCGUUAUCCGGAAUCACUGGGUUUAAAGGGUGCGUAGGCGGCUCGGUAAGUCAGUUGUGAAAGCCCCUUGCUUAACGAGAGAGGUGCGAUUGAUACUGUCGAGCUUGAAACGAGAUGAGGCUGGCGGAAUGUGGCAUGUAGGGGUGAAAGGCAUAGACAUGCCAUAGAAAACCGAUUGCGAAGGCAGCCUACUGCGUCUCUAUUGACGAUGAGGCACGAAAGCGUGGGGAGCACACAGG
RNAcentral lists this ribosomal RNA (253 nucleotides) under uncultured bacterium. RNAcentral's name for it is "partial 16S ribosomal RNA". It matches the Rfam family "Bacterial small subunit ribosomal RNA", at positions 524 to 776 of the family's 1533-position model. The record is from RNAcentral.